Phascolarctos cinereus (koala) is the source of this 419-nucleotide non-coding RNA. NCBI's taxonomy places the organism in Eukaryota, Metazoa, Chordata, Mammalia, Diprotodontia, Phascolarctidae. The record is from RefSeq and is a predicted model, not a curated record.
CUUGGCUUCACCCCUAAUAGCAAUAUUCUUAAAAAGAGCUCUGCAGUCUUCACCAGACAGCUAAUAGGUGCCGUGGGAUCAGUCAUUUGAUUGUCCUUUGUUCUCAAAGAGGACAGUGACAUCAGGGAGUUGAAGCCUCAAAGCAAGCAGGAGACUGACCUUCAGACUGGGAAGGAAAGAACAAUGUGCAGAGGAGGACCCAAGAUAAGGAAACCCAAGGUAAAGGUAGAGAUUGUGCUGCUCGCUGCUCGUGCUCCUGGAGCAGGAUGUGAAGCCCUCAAGGGCAGGGCCUGCCUCCUUUGGAUCUCAGGAGCCCAGUGCGAGAAGGAAGGAAACACGCAUUUACUUAGUGCCUACUGUACGUCAAGAGCUGCUAAGUGCUUCACAACCUUUUGUUAUUUGAUCCUCACAAUAACCCU